This 319-nucleotide long non-coding RNA is filed under the name Cricetulus griseus (Chinese hamster). Its description in RNAcentral is "lncRNA (ENSCGRG00015034876.1)". Lineage: Eukaryota; Metazoa; Chordata; Mammalia; Rodentia; Cricetidae. The record is from RNAcentral.
GUUUGGGGGAGAGUUAGUAUUAGUCCUUACCUGACACCUGAAGGCAAUAUUGUCUGUCCUUGUGGGAGUUGAUAAUUCCUCCAGGCACUGGUCAGCUACCUAAACGGGAGUGCUGUGUGCAUGGGAAAAAUCAAAGGACUCGCAGGGACUUCAACCCAGUUAAAACAGGAUCCUUGGAUUCACCACAGGAAAGAAUCUCUGGGCAGCACAGUAUGAAGCAGAGUUGGGGGUCUAUUAAGAGACGGUAGCUAAAGCCUCGUGCUGUCUAACAUUCCCAUUGAGCAACACUGGAGCCUUUGUUUCACAGCCCAGAGACACC